CCCCCUUUUGCCGGCAGACGGUCGGCCAUUUUCGGGGUGUUGCGGGUCGGAGUUUUGGGCGAAUGUUUGGCUGCAGUUUGGAAUCGUCAUAUUGGGUGGGUUGUCGUGGCCUUGUGGAUAUGAGCGUUGUCGCGGUGGCUUGGUCUGGGUUCGGGUCUCUCUACGGAUAUAGAUUUUUUUUUUUCUUUUUUUUUUAUUUAUUUAUAGGAUAUUUUAUUAUAACAAGAAUAACUGAAACAUUGAAUUUUUUAUUAUUUUUUUUUUGUCAUUUUUAACAAGUAGAAUCAAAAUCUAGCAAUUGUUAGUGAUCUCCAUUCC
RNAcentral lists this long non-coding RNA (318 nucleotides) under Androctonus crassicauda. The record is from RNAcentral. Lineage: Eukaryota; Metazoa; Arthropoda; Arachnida; Scorpiones; Buthidae.